GUAAGUAUAGUUUUAACCAAAAUAUUAGAUUGUGAUUCUAAAAAUAGGAGUUAAAAUCUCCUUACUCACC
Molecule: transfer RNA, 70 nt
Filed under: Sinocyclocheilus multipunctatus
Lineage: Eukaryota; Metazoa; Chordata; Actinopteri; Cypriniformes; Cyprinidae
Description: tRNA-His
Rfam family: tRNA
About the family: Transfer RNA (tRNA) molecules are approximately 80 nucleotides in length. Their secondary structure includes four short double-helical elements and three loops (D, anti-codon, and T loops).
Source: RNAcentral